RNAcentral lists this ribosomal RNA (253 nucleotides) under uncultured bacterium. Its description in RNAcentral is "partial 16S ribosomal RNA". It matches the Rfam family "Bacterial small subunit ribosomal RNA", at positions 524 to 776 of the family's 1533-position model. The record is from RNAcentral.
UACGUAGGUGGCAAGCGUUGUCCGGAUUUACUGGGCGUAAAGGGUGCGUAGGCGGACAUUUAAGUCAGAUGUGAAAUACCCGAGCUUAACUUGGGUGCUGCAUUUGAAACUGGGUGUCUAGAGUGCAGGAGAGGUAAGUGGAAUUCCUAGUGUAGCGGUGAAAUGCGUAGAGAUUAGGAAGAACACCAGUGGCGAAGGCGACUUACUGGACUGGAACUGACGCUGAGGCAUGAAAGCGUGGGGAGCAAACAGG